RNAcentral lists this long non-coding RNA (437 nucleotides) under Populus tremula. RNAcentral describes it as "long non-coding RNA (PTRE_LNC003469)". Lineage: Eukaryota; Viridiplantae; Streptophyta; Magnoliopsida; Malpighiales; Salicaceae. The record is from RNAcentral.
UAAUCACAUUAGAUGGCAUGCCAUUUUAUCGUUAAAUAAACUAUUCGUUAGGUAGGGUACUAUCCAGACAACAACAGGAAAGAAUUUGAAGGAAAAUUGUUUUACAUCUCCCUCUCUUCAGUUGCUUUGGCAUCUUCCGUCCAACUGCCUAAUUUGACAAUGUCUUCCACAAGAUAAAAUGAUGAAUGUUGAAACAUGCAGACACAUUCAAAAUGAUACAUCCUUCAAGUACAUCGCAGCAACUGAUGAGUUCUUGGAUGCCUUCCUUGCCUGAUGUAUCCUUCAAGUACAUCGCAGCAGCUUCCACCUCCUCAGGAGUAACUUUCCCAUCAUAAUCCCUGCAUACAAGUAGGAUUACUGGAUGUGAGUGUCGUCACAGGAUGGAGUUCAUAAACCAUCUUAUUCCCUGUAUUUGCAUCCCUCUGCUUCAUACUAGC